This 662-nucleotide ribosomal RNA is filed under the name Mucor circinelloides. Its description in RNAcentral is "partial large subunit ribosomal RNA". It matches the Rfam family "Eukaryotic large subunit ribosomal RNA", at positions 63 to 632 of the family's 3401-position model. Lineage: Eukaryota; Fungi; Mucoromycota; Mucoromycetes; Mucorales; Mucoraceae. The record is from RNAcentral.
AAAUAACAAUGAUUUCCCUAGUAACGGCGAGUGAAGAGGAAAGAGCUCAAAGUUGGAAACUGUUUGGCUUAGCUAAACCGUAUUGUAAACUGUAGAAACAUUUUCCUGGCACACCAGAUUAAUAAGUCCUUUGGAACAAGGCAUCAUGGAGGGUGAGAAUCCCGUCUUUGAUCUGAGUAGUUGUCUUUUGUGAUAUGUUUUCAAAGAGUCAGGUUGUUUGGGAAUGCAGCCUAAAUUGGGUGGUAAAUCUCACCUAAAGCUAAAUAUUUGCGAGAGACCGAUAGCGAACAAGUACCGUGAGGGAAAGAUGAAAAGAACUUUGAAAAGAGAGUUAAACAGUAUGUGAAAUUGUUAAAAGGGAACCGUUUGGAGCCAGACUGGUUUGACUGUAAUCAACCUAGAAUUCGUUUUGGGUGCACUUGCAGUCUAUACCUGCCAACAACAGUUUGAUUUGGAGGACAAAAUUAAUAGGAAUGUAGCCUCUCGAGGUGUUAUAGACUAUUAUCAUACUCUGGAUUGGACUGAGGAACGCAGCGAAUGCCUUUAGGCAAGAUUGCUGGGUGCUUUCGCUAAUAAAUGUUAGAAUUUCUGCUUCGGGUGGUGCUAAUGUUUAAAGGAGGAACACAUCUAGUAUAUUUUUUAUUCGCUUAGGUUGUUGGCUU